Molecule: ribosomal RNA, 717 nt
Filed under: Lysobacter sp. Y4_384_2
Lineage: Bacteria; Pseudomonadati; Pseudomonadota; Gammaproteobacteria; Lysobacterales; Lysobacteraceae
Description: bacterial SSU rRNA
Rfam family: Bacterial small subunit ribosomal RNA
Source: RNAcentral
UGCAGUCGACGGCAGCACAGAGGAGCUUGCUCCUUGGGUGGCGAGUGGCGGACGGGUGAGGAAAACGUCGGAAUCUGCCUAUUUGUGGGGGAUAACGUAGGGAAACUUACGCUAAUACCGCAUACGACCUACGGGUGAAAGCGGAGGACCUUCGGGCUUCGCGCAGAUAGAUGAGCCGACGUCGGAUUAGCUAGUUGGGGGGGUAAAGGCCCACCAAGGCGACGAUCCGUAGCUGGUCUGAGAGGAUGAUCAGCCACACUGGAACUGAGACACGGUCCAGACUCCUACGGGAGGCAGCAGUGGGGAAUAUUGGACAAUGGGCGCAAGCCUGAUCCAGCCAUGCCGCGUGUGUGAAGAAGGCCUUCGGGUUGUAAAGCACUUUUGUCCGGAAAGAAAAGCACUGGGUUAAUACCCUGGUGUCAUGACGGUACCGGAAGAAUAAGCACCGGCUAACUUCGUGCCAGCAGCCGCGGUAAUACGAAGGGUGCAAGCGUUACUCGGAAUUACUGGGCGUAAAGCGUGCGUAGGCGGUUUGUUAAGUCUGAUGUGAAAGCCCUGGGCUCAACCUGGGAAUGGCAUUGGAUACUGGCAAUCUAGAAUGUGGUAGAGGGUGGCGGAAUUCCCGGUGUAGCAGUGAAAUGCGUAGAUAUCGGGAGGAACAUCCGUGGCGAAGGCGGCCACCUGGACCAACAUUGACGCUGAGGCACGAAAGCGUGG